Non-coding RNA from Methanobacterium congolense, 83 nucleotides. The record is from Rfam. NCBI's taxonomy places the organism in Archaea, Methanobacteriati, Methanobacteriota, Methanobacteria, Methanobacteriales, Methanobacteriaceae.
GCGGGGUUACCCGAGUGGCCAAAGGGGGCAGGCUCAAGACCUGCUGGUGCAGACCUACCAGGGUUCGAAUCCCUGACCCCGCA